RNAcentral lists this ribosomal RNA (536 nucleotides) under uncultured Verrucomicrobiota bacterium. RNAcentral describes it as "bacterial SSU rRNA". It matches the Rfam family "Bacterial small subunit ribosomal RNA", at positions 8 to 522 of the family's 1533-position model. The record is from RNAcentral. Lineage: Bacteria; Pseudomonadati; Verrucomicrobiota.
AGAGUUUGAUCAUGGCUCAGAACGAACGCUGGCGGCGUGGAUAAGACAUGCAAGUCGAACGAGACUUUUCGUUGUAGCAAUACGAUGGAAAGUUUAGUGGCGAACGGGUGCUUAACACGUGGGCAACCUGCCAUGAAGUGGGGGAUAGCUCGCCGAAAGGCGAAUUAAUACCGCAUGUGAUUAGAGAGGACAUCCUUUCGAAAUUAAAGUCGGGGCAACCUGACGCUUCUUGUGGGGCCCGCGGCCUAUCAGCUAGUUGGUGAGGUAAUGGCUCACCAAGGCUUUGACGGGUAGCUGGUCUGAGAGGACGACCAGCCACACUGGGACUGAGACACGGCCCAGACACCUACGGGUGGCAGCAGUCGAGAAUUUUUGACAAUGGGGGAAACCCUGAUCGAGCGACGCCGCGUGGAGGAUGAAGGUCUUCGGAUUGUAAACUCCUGUCAUUUGGGAACAAGGUGCACACGUUAACUGCGUGCGUAUUGAUAGUACCAGAAGAGGAAGAGACGGCUAACUCUGUGCCAGCAGCCGCGGUA